Cinara cedri is the source of this 361-nucleotide non-coding RNA. The record is from the annotation of a GenBank genome assembly. NCBI's taxonomy places the organism in Eukaryota, Metazoa, Arthropoda, Insecta, Hemiptera, Aphididae.
CAAUCGACGGGUACCGGGCGAUAAUAUUAUUUAUCACUCCGGUUCCACCCCGGUCGUCACCACGCCCCGGGUCGGCCGGGUGCCGCCGACCGAGAGGAAUAUCGAUUUCUUCGUCGACUCUCAAAGUAUUAAAAAAAAUUUAACCGCUCAGAACGUCCAUCCACCACGACGGGUAUAUUCCGCAAGCAGAUCAUCGUUGCUGGAAUGACCCAUGAUCGCGGAACGAUCGGGUCACCGGCAGGUCUCACGCUUAGGGCGGAUGAAACGGUGUCAUCACCGCGGUCUUUUACCUCCAGAUCUGCACCUGGAGGACGCGAAUCGUACCCGCAAGGAACCGAGAUCCCGUAGCGGGCAGAAUCGU